Molecule: long non-coding RNA, 2403 nt
Organism: Mesocricetus auratus (golden hamster)
Lineage: Eukaryota; Metazoa; Chordata; Mammalia; Rodentia; Cricetidae
Exons: 2
Source: RefSeq, a predicted model, not a curated record
UUGGGGGUAGGGCUGAUCUGGAGGCAAGAGGAGCCCUUUCCCUGUGCAGGGUCUCCCAGACUGAGCCUGAGCCAGAGAGCUGGCGUGCUGCGCUAGGGGUAGCUUGCUUGGGGUGCUCUGCUGGGGAGGCCUUUCCUGGGGGUGCCCUCCUGGAGAUGUGUCGCUUGGGGGUGCCCUGCUGGGGCUUUCCUGCUGGGGUGUCCUGACUGUGUUCCUUCCUUAUGGGUAAUCACAUGCUUCCCCAGGGAGCUGUGUUUGAGGGGCUGAGGGCGUGUGAAAGCGCACAGUGGGCUGUGUUGGUCCAGGGCCUUCAAGAAGCAGUCAUGAAGUUGGGAAUAAUGCUGGAGACCGUCUGAGGGGAGCCGUUAGCCAUGCCAACCAAGCCAUUGGGAGAGCGUGAAGAUACGGACUCACUCAGAAGGAACCUUUCCCUGUAAAGCAAUGGACAGCUGUGGAACCGUGCUCACUGCCCACUGGCCCAUGCAGAGCGCUCACCCUGGCCCAGUGUGGAGGCUCGGGAGCCUGGAGCACAGCAACACAUUGGGAGAGGGCCUGCAGUCUGCUCCUGCUUCUCCCCGCUCUGGAAUCCAGCAUCUUACCCUUGGACAUGUGGCACUUGUCAGAUACUAAACGGACACAAACGCACGACCCUGGGUCUCAGUCAAAAGGCUGAUGGGAGGUGGGGAAUCUCACUGCUCUGCCCCAGACGUUCCUGUCCUUCCCCACGUUAGGUGCGAGUUAUUCUCAGGAUAAGCUCAGUGCGGGUCAUUCCAGAUUGAUCUUGAGGCCACAGGGCCCCCAACUGUGACCUCACUGUGCAGCACAGACUUCCUCCUUACCCUCCUGGUGACCCCAUCAUCUUUGCCACCUGGUGCUCCUUGAGGCAAGUGACUCAUACACAGAAACCUUCCCAGGACCAGGAGGGACCAGGCCAAAGUGUGAAAUAGAAACUAAUCCUAAAGUAGCAUGGCUGGGAGGCGGGCAGCCCGUCACCAGGAGAGGGGCAUGAAGCCUGGGAGAGGAAGGGAGAAAACGCCAGAAGAGUGGGCGGGCAGGGGGUGUGGGGAGGAGCUCUCUUGAGACUGAGCGUCCAGAGGGGCAGGAACCAGGUCCUAUACCUAGGGCCUGGCAGGCGGCUCGCAUGCAGUGAACUCUGAACGGACACUUGGCUGACGGUCUGGUUCACUUUGCAGAAACUCGAAUAGUGGCUGCAGACAAGAGUGAGGAUGGCGUGGGGACGAGAGGCGCUUCCUCCCCACUGGAUAACAGUAGCGGAGCUCUUUUACCCCAGGGUGGCAGCCCUGUGAGAAGCCCCAGCGGGACCAACGAGGAGCCUCCGCCUGAUCCUGGGUAGCUUGGGGAGGUAGCUCAGUAAGCUGAGCUUUUUGUCAGCGCUCGGGGCACCAUGGUCAGCUGUUUCCAGCUGUGGACACUGCAGAGGUCUCCCGUGUCCCGUCUGGCAGCUGCUGUUGUCACUUGGCUAUGGCUAGACCAGACCGAGUGGUACAUGUGGAGUAACUGCACUUGGAUUUCAAAGAUAACCCUGUGAGAAAAGAUGGCUCACUCAAAAUUUUAUGUUAUGGGUGUUGAAAUGAUAAUGAAUGAAAUAAUACUCUGCCGAAAUGAUAAUAUUUAAAUAGACUGGGUUAAAGAAUAUUAAAACUGACUUUACCUAUUUUUUAUGGUUAAUGUGGUCAGUAGAACAGUUUAAAUUAUAUUUAUAGUUUCCAUUCUAUCUCUGCUGGUCAGCACUGCCCUGCAUUGGGUCCACAUUUGUUUUCUCACAGGUCUGUUGUGGGGACAGGCAGUCUGCCUGUGUGGAGCAGUUUCUUUUCAGUCUGCCAUGCAAUUGCGUGACGAUGCUUAAUGAGGUCUCACAUGCUUGGUGAGGUUUCAGGGACUGCAGAAUCCUCAGGAAUCCUCCACUGAGAGCUGAGAGUCUUGUACCUCAGGACACAAGGGACCUCCAAGGGUCACCCACCAGGUAGUCAGUGAUGGGGAUUACUUUGGUCACACAGCGUGACCCAGAUGCCACCUAGAGGGGACUCAUUAUGAUUAUAUAUUGAUGGAGAGAACUCAGACCUUGAUGGUGAGGAAAGGCCUCUGCUGGGAGGAGGAGGCAGAGGGGAGGAAACAGGAAGUGAGCCGGUCAGUCAGAGAGUGGCUCCGGAGGUCGAGGGAUGAAGAGGACUUGAACCAGGAAGAGGAAAUCCCAGUGACCCAGUGAGCAGCUUCAACAGAGGUUGAAGUAAUUUGACGUAUUUACUUUAAAGGUAAUCCCUUCCAUGUUAGCCUAUAUUAUUUACAUGGUAGCUGUUGAGUCAUGCCUGAGUAAGUCAAUAGUCCCCUUCUCAGGGGCAUCGCCAUGUAGACAAAUAGAUUAUAAACAAAUGAAUAAACCAA